AGCACCGAGCAUGGCCCAUCUUGAAUGGAUGACCUCGAGCUCACGGUUCUUGGCAAAUGUCUCGGGAUCGACUAAGAGCCCAGCUGUGUCCCAACCAUAGUCACCGGGAAACUCUCCGGUGAGAUAAGACGGGGCUUCAUUGGAGAAUGGGCCCAAGUACUUGACACGGUCAGGACUGCACCAUGGGCUGCCGGAUGACACAUUUUUGGACUUGGCUGCGGUUUUGCGCAUGGUGAUUCUGCCCUCACCGAGGAGGUUGGAUGUAGAAGAACCAAGCUGUGAGAAGGGGAGAGAGCCAUUGUUGAAGCAGCCAUAUGAGAAAAUGAAAGUGUUUACGAGUGUGUAGAGGGCCGAGUGAUUGUUAUGUUUUGCAUAGAGAAGCAUGGUGGGUAUUUGUAUAGGUUUGAUGCUAGAAAGUCGUUAUCUUUCUGCUAUCUUCAUCCCUUUUCUCACUGGUGAAAUGAAGUUCAAAGAGUUUCAAUCCUUUGAUCAAUUCCAGUUGGCAUGAUAGGCUCCAGUUAUUUAGUUCCACAAAGAUAGCAAUUGGAAAAUAGUUAUGCUUUGAUUUCUGACCAAGUAGAAUUAGCCCUACGAACAUGGCCGUCUUUUUGCAAUAAUGAUCAUAAUGACUCGAUUUCCAGUUGGUUUGAUAUGCACCACCAGCAUAACGUACGUAUAGAUACCAUAGAACAUCAAAGGAGAAAGAAUAAUGAAUUUUUCGACUAGAAAUGAGGAUGUUAAAACUAGACACAUGAUUACAAAAAUCUGAAAUAACAUUAAGAAUCUCUAUAAUUAAGGAUACAUUCAACUAAACAUAAAUUAGAAACAAAAUAUUACUCUAACGACGACUCAUUUGGCAUAUGUAAACCUUCAGACCAAUGUUCUAAAAAAUGCUAGGCGCUAGUCGGGCGGUAGAGGUGAAAUUUUGAAACCAAAAACCGAAAAAAAACCGAGCCGAAAACCAAACCGAAACUGGAAAAAACCAAACCUAAUUAAGAAAAACCGAACCGAACCAAAUUAGUUUGGUUUGGUUUUUGGUUUCGGCCCUUGAAAAACCGAACCGAACUGAAAAACUGAAUAUCCCUAAAACGACGUCGUUUUUUGUCUUUAUUUUCAUAUUAAAUAUUUGAUUUGAACAAUAUGAUUUUUAGGUUUUAUGUUCUAUAUAAUUAUCUGUUUGUCUUUUCUAAUAUUUUGCUUUUUAUUUUCAUUUUAUGUACAUAUAGAAAUGUUUUAGGUGUCGUGUAUGCAAAGUAUAGAGAGUGAUAUGUUACCUCUAAAAUCGAAGACCUUAUUAUUGCGAGCUUUAGAUGACAAAUUCUAAUAUUUAAUUUAUUUUUCUCUUCUUUAUUCAAAUUUAUGAUUUUUAAAAUUUAAAAUUCGGAAUUUAUUUGGAUGAACUUUAAACUAUGGAGUCUAUAUGUUGUGUUCAAGAUGAACUUACAAGUUUUAAAAUUAUGGUUUCAUGGUGUGCUAGUGUGGUCAAUUCUCAAUACUUUCGAAAUUAUUGAGUAUUAAACUUUCAAAGUAUCUAUUUGGUUUAUAAAUUGUUGGUUUGUUGAAGAAAUCAUUGUCAAAAAUUUUAUUGAUAUAUUAUAUAUGCUUAUAAAAAAAAACUAGUAAUGGAAGAAAAAAAAGACCUAAAAUACGAUAAUUUUUUACCAAGGCAAAAGCAUACAAAUUUUAAGAAAAAUUAUUUUAAAAAAGAAGAAAAACAAAAAAAAAACUGAACCAAACCACGGUUUGGUUUGGUUUCCGGUUCAAGGUCUCAAAAAAUACCAAACCAAACUGAAUUUUUUAUUCGGUUUGGUUUCAGGUUUUAUGUGAAAACCAAACUCACCCCUAUCGGGCGGACAGCCGGUGACUAGCGCUUAAACGGGUCAAUCGGGAGAUUAAUCAGUUUUCUAACUCUCUAGACGGAAACAGUGAAGCACCGCCUAACACGUAGGCGUGGAUUAAUCGGCUAUAAGCGGAGAUUUUUAAACCAUUGCUUGAGACAACAACUAGUCCUUAAAACUUGUAUGACGAAAUUGACUGUGGCUCAAAUUAUAAGGAGCUACAUUUAGAAUAUCUGCUGCUAUGGGGCAAGUAAGCAAAACAUGGGAAGUAUCUUCAUAAGGACAUGGGCAUGAUAUGCAUCAAGUAUCACCUGUAUAACCCUUUGUAGUAAGUGCACGUACCUCUCAUUGGCAGUCGGUUAAAGCAAGCUUUCCAGAAGCAAAUACGCACCUCCUCGGUACUUUUGUUUUCCACAAUCGUUUCUGCUAUAAGCCGUUUUUAUGGUCAUGUCUUUUUUUUUUUUUUUUUUUUUCUGUUUUAGGUAGAACAAAAUUUUCUUGCCUUGCUUUUUUUUUUCAAUAUGAUAUUUGUUUGCUCAAUACCAUUUUGGUCUAGUGACAUAAGUCUCUCCUUGUAAAUGAGAAGUCGUGAGUUCGACUCAUAGUAUUGUAGCAUAUUAUUGUGCGUUUGAUCCAAAAAUAAAAUAUGAUCUUUAUUUGGGAUCAUAGCGUUUUUUUGCUUUUUGCUUCAAUAUGCAUGUGGACAUUUUAUGUACUUAUAGGCUCAAUUAUGGUGUGAGCUGAAAUAUGUAGUAGGAGUGUUACCUGUACGUGGAUUAUUUGAUCUUAUUUACCCUCUUUACACAAGACAAUGCAUUGAUUCAUGAUGUAUCAUUUAUUUGAAUGGAUUGGAAUAUCUUCUUUAAUUCAAAAAUUAAUUAAAGAUCUCUUUCCUUAAGAUUGUGAGCAAACUUUUGCAUUUAUACAUAAUUAAUGGCCACUAUGAGCAAGUAAUAUUUAUUUUCAUUACCUAUUAAAGUUCAUUCAUCGCUAUAUAAGCAUGGAUGUAGCAAGAAAACUCCUAUAGUUUAUUCUAAGCCUGAGCCAGAGAUAAAAUGAUGAGAAAAGCAUUGUGGCAGCUCUACUGUUUUCUGCUUUUCCUUGUCCUAGCGCAUUGCAUUCUCCAUUGUGGCAGCCACCCUGUUUGGGGAAGAAAGUAUUUCGUCCGUAUUGUUAACAAUCUCGAAAACAACGAAGUGCUUAACUUUCAAUGUAAAUCCCUAGAUGAUGUAAUUGGUCCGCGUACUCUUCCUCCAUUUGGUGAAUUUGAAUUUAAAUUUCACUUCGGCCCUGAUACAGUGUUUGAAUGCUCUACGUGGUACUCAAAUCGCAUGGCUAAUUUUACAGCAUGGGAACCAAUUGUUCAACCUUUAUGAGGCGGGGCGCAUUUAAUUUAACUAUAUACUAAAGUAUGGUUUACUGUUCAUAAUCACUGUUCACAUCACAUGAAUAGUGCACUGUUUGGUGGGUGUGAUUCUGUUUAUGCCCUCUGUUUCUAAAAAACCACGAAAUUACCAUUAACCCUAGAUAUAUGAUUGUCUUCUAUAUAAUUAGUUGUUGUUGAGGAUGUUGUGGGUUGGGAAGUAAUUUUUGAACUCUUAUCUUCAUUACCGUGUCUCAAUUUUUUUUUUUUUCAUAGAUCUCACAAAGGGUAUUGUUAUCGAAGUCAAUCUAAAAUAGGGUAGUGGUAUCAUAGACCAAGGUUGAGCAAGUUUAUUUUCUUAAUUAUUGAGGUGAAACAAUUUUGGUUCUAUUUUAGCAACGGAAUAUUAAUUGAAGUACAAAUAUCUUUGAUUUGGCCAAAGAAAUUAUCUGGUUGCAAACCAACUCCUAAUUAACAAAACGUACUAAGUUAAUUUAAAUAUCGUGUGAUGAAGUACUAUGUUAUAUAUACUAAUGCAAUAUAUUUGGUUUUUGUUUUGUUUACUUUUAAUUUACUUGGUUUCUCAUCUUUGGUUUUAGUUUUGUUUACUUUCAAUUGAGUUGGUUCCUCAUUUUUUGUUUGGUUUUUAUGUCAAGUUCUCAUCUUUGACAUUUUGAGAUCAGUCUCUUUAGGAGCUUGAGAUAAAUAUUCUUUUCAGUUAAUUAAUCACUUGCUUUGUGUGUGUGUGUGUGUGUGUGUUUUGUUUUUUUUUUUUCUUUACUNUAGUAUNAUAUANCUUUAUUAGUUAGUUUUUAGUUUUUUUUUUUUUUUUUUUUCCUAUCUUUAGUUUCCUAUAAAUCAAGUUUUCUAAAAAUUGCGUUUUUGGUGAAAAACAGUUAAACAAAUAUGAGCAUUUUGUAUAGUCAAAACUAGAGCUAUAUUUUCGAUCAUACUGCUUCAGAUAAGUUGUUCUAUUUUGUGCACUUACAAGACAUUUACUAUUUUGGAUAGGUUACAACACUAGAUGUUUUGUAUUGAAGUUCUAUGAAGUACAUAUCAAAAACUUUUUCAUCAAUCAACUGAAUCAUUAACCAGUUUUAUAAAUAUACACCGCGCCAAGGCGCGGGUAUCAACUCUAGUUGUAUAUACAGUGUGUGAUCUGCUACUGUGUUCAGGUACAACAUAGCAACUCGACGAUAUGUAGGAGUCAUUAAUUUUUGGACUGUAGUACCAUGAAAAUGUUUGGGACAAAUGUAGUUUCAAACAAGAAAUAUUUAUAAGCUACAAGUAUGUUUUUUUAUUUUUUAUUUUUUUUAUAUAUGAAUAAAGGGCUGGUGCGGCUGUUUUCAAGCCUUCAUUAAUGAAACUGUCGAAUACAAGAGGGGCAUAUAUAAAGCCUAAACCCCUGAUUACAAAGACCCAAAAUAAUAUCGAGAAUCUCUAUAAAAUACAUGUAUUCUGAUAAACACCAACUAGCAAAUAGUACUACCCUAAAGACGAAUAUAUUUGCUUUGUCAUAUCGGUGACAUAAUGGAAAGAUCACUAGAUAUGUAACACGAUUACUUAUCCUAAUGUCUGAUAAAGAAUAGUACACAAGAAGUUAAUUAGCAAAGAAUAUUAGAAUACUUAUAUAUACACCAAGUUCUAAUACCAAACGUGAUCGAUCCAAUUUUUUUAUUUUUUUGAUGAAAGGGAUUGUAGUAAUCAAACUGGGCACAAAUUAUCUACCCAAACUACAGGAUUUGGAGCUGCAUAUGUUGUACUAGCCAAUCUGUGCGCCACUGUAUUGCAAGUUCUACUACCCAUGAGAGAGAGUCAUGGAUGUCACAAAGUAACCCUUCCAGCCCUACAUAGGUACCUUGCGUAUAGGAGAUAACCAAAAUUGCCUCUAGACAAUCUGUUUCUAUGAUAGCACAUACACAAUGUUUUCAAAAGUUUUAGUCCUUCUUUGAUAGCAUAUACCUCCGCCUUCUUUGCAGAGACUACUGGGGCAAUAGGAAUGACCAAAGCUGCCUUGAAUUUUCCUUGAUUAUCCCUGAGUAUCCCUCAAGUGCCUCCACGAAGAAAUGUUGGAAGAAAGCUACCAUCCACCAUGAGUUUGGUUUCCAUUUCUUGUGUUGUAGUUGGGGAGUCUGCCUUACUGGAGGUUGUAUUUGAACUUGUUGGUUUUCAUUGAACUAGGCCAUUGCCCAUGCUUGUACUUCUUGUGCUGUUUGAUGCUUUUCAUUCCAUAGUAUAUUGUUUCUGUUAGGCCAAAGAGACCACAAGCUGAUGAGAAGUUUGGCAAAGAGCUCCUUUGGCAUAUGUAAACCUUGAGACAACAACCAGUCCUUAAAACUUGUACGAGGAAAUUGAAUGUGGCUCAAAUUAUAAGGAGCUGCAUUUAGAAUAUCUGCUGCUAUGGGGUAAGUAAGCAAAACAUGGGAAGUAUCUUCAUAAGGACAUGGGCAUGAUAUGCAUCAAGUAUCACCUGUAUAACCUUUUUUAGUAAGUGCACGUACUUCUCAUUGGCAGUCGGUUAGAGCAAGCUUUCCAGAUGCAAAUACGCACCUCCCCGAGUCCCCGUAAUUUUUGCUUUCCACAAUUGUUUCUACUAUGGGUCCGUUUUUUUUUUUUUUUUUUUUUCUUAGUUUCAGGUAGAACAAAAUUUUCUUGCCUCUUCACAAAAACAUUUCUUGCCUUGUUCGUUUUUUUUUUUUUUUUUUUCAAUAUGAUCUUUGUUUGUGAUCAUAGCGUUUUUUUGCUUUUUGCUUUAAUAUGCCUCUGGAUAUUUUAUGUACUUAUAGGCUCAAUUGCGAUGUGAGCUGAAAUGUGUAGUGGGAGUGUUACCUGUACGUGAAUCAUACACAAGACAGUGCAUCGAUUCAUGAUGUAUCCUUUCUAUUAAGAAAAACAUAAGGGUCUUAUGACUUCUACUUAGUUGCUGAUUCAUAGAAUUAUUACCACUCUUAGGCUCAGUUUAGGAUUGCAUUUUUGGGUUAAAUCCUGCUUUUUCUCACCCAUUUAUGACUGAUAGCCUGUUUGGUAAGCAUUUCAUAUCUGCGUUCUUUUAACGAUUGCGGCCGGAAACCGCAAAAAUGAAAAGCAGCGGAGGACCUGCUUUUUCUUAUCCAGCGUUUUGUGAACGUGAAUCAAAUAGCCUGUACAUUCAUGAAAUUCCAGAAACAUCCCCACUGAAAUUCAAAAGUCAAACCCCUCGGAAUUAAUUCUCGUUCUCUUCUUCUGGGUUUCUUUCGUUUUUUGCCUUCUUUUGCAGCUCCUCAUCCCCUUGCCUUCGUACCUCUCUCUUCACAGCUAUUCACUUCUUCUUUGAUGGAUUACUGUAUCAUAUUAUUUUAUAUAUAGAUCUGUAAUUGAUCGUAAGGUGAUCGAGGUUUCCAUCGAAUCGCAUACACUUCGUAAUUUGAUGAGAAGAACAAAAGAUCCAUAUGAGUCAAAAGAUCUGUAUCUAUUUUUGAAAUUCUUUGUUUUUGAUAUCAUGUUUACCAAACAUUGUAGCAGUACUUAUUUUUACCUCAACACUUUCAAAUAUAUGAUUUACCAAACAUUAUACCGAGAUUUUUUACAACAGAUUAUUUUUACAACAGAGUUAUUUUAAAGUAGAGUUUAUAUACCUCAAUAUCAAACUAGGCUUUAUUGGUGGACAUAUAACCAAAAUGACGGUUUCUGAUGUCCUAGAAAUGAAAAACAAAAAUUUGAAAGAGUGGCAUUAUUUUUUGAGCAAUUUAAUGACAUCACACAUUAUAACCUAUACUAAAGACCUAUCUCUAAUGUACCGUUCAUUUUAUUUGUCCUUAUUCUCUCGAUAAAUUUUUCAGUAUUUCCGAAAGACCAUGUGGCAUUGCCUGGUUAUCCAAGCCUAUGAGACGUUGACACGUGACACUUUUUAGACAACUCGCAUCAAGGUUAAUUCAUUUAGUUUUCAACUGCAGUAAAACAAACCCCUCAACUAUCGCCGUUAAGUGAUAGUGUGAUAAAAAAAUGUAAAUCUCUGAAUUUUGUUCGUCCUCUCGCCGUCUGCCUUUCUCUUUGUGUUCUUUUCAGCAGAAGCACAAGGAAGCUUGUGGGUUCAGUUAAGCCUUGUCGUCGCCCAUAAGAUCCACUUUGUCCAACAAUUGGGAUUUUCAGUUCCCCGUAGCUAUUACCCGAUCUCCUCCACGCGUCCCCAGGUUUCUUCUCUUCUCUUCUCAUUUCCCAAUUGUUUUUCUUGCUCUUUGGGUCUUGCUAGUUUUUGUUAAUUUUGGUUAGAGAGUUGAAUGAUUGUGAUCAGACUCACUUUUCGGAGAAGAAAAGAAAAUUGAAAAUGGGAGAACUGAGUUCAAAGAAAGAGAAUUUGGGAAACGAAAUCCGCACAAACCGACGGAGGUGAGUAUUCGACGAUUUUGGUUAGUUAUAUGGAAUUGAUGAAACUUCGACGGCUCUCCCUUCUUGAAUAUGUUGUUUAUGGGAUUUGAUUUCUACACCAAAGUGAGGAAAAUUCUAUUAAGCUAUCAUAUAUUCAUAUUGGCUAUGAUUGAAUGGUACAUGACCAUAAUAGCUUGAAUUCCAGUAAAAGCUUUGUGGAUUUGGGAUUUGAAGUUUGAGGUUUUAUUUUUAUUUUUUGGAUUUGAAUUUUGCAGUUUUUGAAAUUUUACAUGUUAGUUGAUGUUGUUAUCCUUUUCAUGUUAAAGUCCAAUGUAUGAUUUAGCAGGUUAGAUGAGAUAUUGGAUUUGCUGAACCUUCAGGUAGUUAGAAAAUAUGCCAAUGUCUCCAAUGGAGGGGUGCCAUUUAAUUAGAAAGUAAACAUCCCACAUUGUUAUCAGCCCUAGACCACCAUUUUACACAUUUCAGACCAACAAUUUGAUUGCUUGUUUUCUCUGCUAUGUACUCAAAUCUAUUACAGCUACUGGGAUAGCUGCAUCACCAAAACUAGUUCUUUGUGUAUCACAGCUUAUGACUCUAAUUGUUUUACCAUCAAGGUCACACAGAAUACUUGAUUUUGGAUUAGUCAUUUACUUAUCCAUUUUGUCAAAUAUGGGUUCUGCUGAGAAAUGCCAGGAUGGCAAGUAAUUAAGCAACAAUUUUUGGAUGAUCCUUCUGAAACAACUAUAUACAUAGCUGGUUUGCAGGCUGCAUGGAAGCUUGGUGCUGCAUUCAAAUUGGUUAUCAUUUGAUUAUGACACUGCGUCUAGUAUCUGCUAAGUUUAUUGGUCUUUAGGUUCAAAAGUUUCGUUUUAUCGAAACUCUUAUGAGUUUUAUUUGGUUUGCAUAUAGUUCUCUUUUGAAGCUUGUAUUAUAUCUAAAUAUUUCUCAUGUUCUCUUUUUAGAUCUACCCCAAAUCCUGUUUUUUCUUUUUUUGAAUUCUGGGUGCACAGGCAGUGAGAUUGUAGUUGUCAGUGACAAACUAAGGAUAAAUUGGAAGAGCUUUAAGGUAUCUCAAUCAGUGAUUUCCUGAAUUACUUCAUUUGGAAGAGCCUUAAGAUAACUUGGUUAUUCUGAUUCCUAUAUGAUGUCUGAUAAUGUGUGGACAUGGGUGCAGGUUGAACCGUAACAGAUGAGGAUUGGCAUAGUUGAGUUUGAGGAUGAUGUGGUACUUGACAGUGAGGGUGACGAAGUUAAUGGAAGGUGACUCAUACAAGUAUGUCUCUGGACAAAAAGUGCACUGCAGGUUUGUAUAUUUGCUUCUUCUUUUUUUUGUUGUAUUUUGGUUAAUUUUUUGAUAGCAGUUGGCGUUGAACGUGUUGAUGAUAUGAAGUUUUUUUUCUUAAUGAAUGCUUGAGGAAGUAAUCUCUGCAAGACUUUGCAUUUACUAAUUUGAAUGACAAGUUUCUUGAAAUAAUUUUCAUACUACGGAGGAGUAAAGGCCGAAAUAUUUGUGCUGCUUGCAGAAUUUAGCUACAUCGACUCCCAUGAUCUUGGUUGGUCGCAUUACUGUAAGAGAAAGACAUUAGAUAAAUGGCUUUCAAACAUAUAUAUGAAGAUAGCUAGCAUCUAGGAUAAUAACAGGGUUUCAAAACUUUUCAAAUAUCGAUAAAAAACUGUGUGCUUGGUCAUAGUUAAGAUCAACUCAGUUAAAAUUGCAUAUGUGAAUGUGUAAAAUUCAAUCUUUGUGCAUAUACCAUAGGGACCAUUAGCACUCAAUAUUCAAUGAUAUAACUCAAAACAUGCAUCUCUCACAAGAAGUAAUGUUUUCAGCCAUUAACGUAAAACCUGAAGAGGAUAGAACUAUUAUGUUUCGAGUCACUUUCGUUUAACCAAAAACUAAUUAGGUCUCAUAGCUAGAAUACCAGCAUGAUGAAGAUGCCAAGGUGCAUUUGAGCAGCAGAGCAGUGAACUCCAGAUGCAAUGAACACCCAAAGUGAUAAUUGUAGAAAUAUAAUCCAUGUUACUUGAAGCAUUUUUCUCCUUAUGUGCAUAAACUAAAUGUCUAUUUAAAAGAGCUCUUACUUUGCUUUAUUGAAGGAUAUAGAUUGUGUCUCAUGUAUAUCGAUCUUUUUUUUUCUUCAUCACAUUGCUUAAUGAGCAUGCACCUUUGUUGUAUAGUCCAAUGGACUAAUUACAUUUUAUUUUUAGUUACAUUCAUGAAAUAUGUAGGAACCUCUAUGCAAUACUCUGAACAAGAAACAUGACAAGAAGUAUGUUCCAAUUUUAUAUGCUAAUUUUAUUGUUCCUUAUGUGGGAUAGAUGGGGUUGGAAGAAUUGUUGGACUGCUAAUCGAUCAGAGGAAGGCCCCAUCAAAGUGGAUGUCUAACCUGUUACUAGAGCUCUUUAAUUUGAUGAUGUAAACUCAGGUUGUCUGAGAGGGAUUUCCCCUUAGUGUUUGUUUGUUUCGUAUCAAAAAAAAGAGUGAAUGUCUAACGCGGACCAAACAAAAGUGGAGGUGUCAUCAUGCAUCUGGGAAUCAUACACCUGCUAAAUUUAUGCUUCGAAUUUCCAGUAUUUUUCCGUGUCUCAACAAUUGUAAAGUUCAUUCGUAUCAAAAAAACAAUUUGUAAAGUUCAUUCUUCAUAGAGUUGUGAGCAGCAUAUUGUAUCAUGAGGAAUUGAUGGGCUCGGAUGCAUAAUGAUUUACGUUUGCAGGAGCCAGGAGAGUUUGGUAUGCCGUUGGAACUUGGAAACCAUGUAGGUAACCAGUUUUGUUGGACAAAGAGGAUGACAAACUCUUAUUUGAAAUGGAAAGCUUUGGUAAACUAUUCAAACCAUGAGAUAUCAAUGUAGCACAAGACUCAUUUAUAUAUCCGACUUUGCCGUGUGUAGUUUGUAUAUAGAUUAUAUCCUUGCUAUGAGGAAAAAAAAAUAUAUAUCCGGCGUAAUUGGGAUAGAAAACGAUCCCCGCGCGGGAAUACCAGCUAGUACAUGGACUAAUCCUUAUAUGAACAAUUUCUAUUCGGAAAUCUAUUACAUGUAAAGCUUCAGACAUGGCAUAAUUCUAGUAACCGAAGAAGUGGCGUCUUAUAUUUAUCUGAAGCUCGUCAGGCAAAUUUUCCAAAAUACGUUCUUCAUUUACAUCCGUGGCAGAAUAUUGUUCGGCAUUUCUCACUUGCCUUCUAAACUCUUCAGGCAAGUUUCUGUACCUCAUCCACGCCUCAACAUCACGCCUCCUCAUCAACAUAUCAGACCUCCUAAAAAACCAAAAGAAUGAGAAAGGCUGAGAUGUAUAUAGAUUCUUACUAUCAGUAACCUCUUUCUCUAACAAAAAAAACUCUAGAAGAAAGAAAGUGGUAAUAAAGUCACGAUCAAACAAUAAAAAUGUGGUCAGCAUAUAGAUUCUUACUUUCAGUAACCCCUUUCUCUCAAUUAAAAAAAAAACUCUAGAAGAAAGAGAAUGGUAAUAAAGUCAAGAUCAAACAAUAAGAGUUAAGAAACAGAUUGGACAAAAAAAAAUAAAAAUAAAAAUUAAGUACCUUUGUCCAAGAGACUGGAGAAAAUUUUGCAUGUUUCCGAUCAGAAGAGCAAGGAGGAAGAGUCCCAGUCCAAUAAUUACCAUCGUAAAGAUAAUUUCACCAUUGUUAUAGCUUGGAGUUAGAUUUCCUCCCAAAGUGCUGAUUUGCUUAAUAAAUCACAGGAGAUAAUAUGUCAGCAUAAAGGUGUAACUUAUUUAUGAAAUCAUAAUAAAAUAAAGGGAAGUUAUCAGCAAUUAGAAUGUAAGGUACCUGAAACCCCCAAAACAAUGAGUAUAGAUAUUUAGUAAUGAUAUGUCCCGUAGUGAUAUUGAUAAUUGGCGCAUAGAUUCCAUAUGAGAAGUCUCCAUUGGGACUAAAACAAAGAGCAGCCUUCUCAUUUAGUCUCCGUUUAGUAAUUAACUCAUCCAGGGAAAGAUAACGAGCAUGCCAACAAUCUAUUAAGUUCGGGCAUGACUGCAUAUUAGAAUUGUGGCAGGCGUCUUGAAGACAUUGGUUAACCCUCUGGAACAAGAAAAAAAAUACAAAUGUUCUCAGUGGCAUAGCCAGAAACUAUCACUAGAAGGGUCAAAAUUUAAACAAUAAUACUAUUGCCUGUUAAAAAAAAUUAAAAAAUUAAAAAACUAUUGAAUGACAUAAAAAUGUAUGAAUUAUUACAUCAAUAAUUAAAAAGGACAAAAAGUAGGUUUUCCUAAAGCAAUUAUAAUUGUUCACGACAAUUACUCAUAUUUUGAAAUAUUUUCAUGAUGGUUUCACCGUCAAAUAUAUCUUUCUCAAUAUAUGUAAUCAUGAACAUGUCUCCCAUUCGGUUUCGCAAAUCACUUAUAUAACCGUCAUGGCAAAAAAUGCUCUUUCUACAGUGACAAUUGCAACUGGAAGAAUCAGUGUCAAUGUUAUGAGCAAGUAAACUAACGGAUCAACCUGGUUUUUCUGUUUCAACAAUUUUUUCUCGAAGCUCACUAAUUUCUUUCAUUUUUUUCCAAAGUACAUUCAUUGGAUCUAUCUCUAUUCUGAAGUACAGCGACAAUUGCAACUGGAAGAAUCAGUGUCAAUGUUAUGAGCAAGUAAACUAACGGAUAAACUUGGUUUUUCUGUUUCAACCAUUUUUUCUCGAAGCUCACUAAUUUCGGUCAUUUUUUUCCGAAGUACCUUCAUUGGAUCUAUUUCUUAUUUGAAUAGCUUGAGAUGCUGUCAACUGAUCCGUUGCUUUCUUUACAAUAUUUUUGAGAAAAUUUUCAUAAUUUCAAAUNNNNNNNNNNNNNNNNNNNNUUCAUAAUUUCAAAUAUUAAUUCUAAAGGUUUUGACUUGUUGUUUGUAGGGAGAAAUGUUUAAAGAACAAAAAAAGGAAUUACAGUUGAGAAGAAUUUAAAGAGCAUGAUAAGAGACAAAUAAAUUGUAGAAGCUUGAAUUUAUAUAGACGCAAGGUAAAUCAUGAAUCGAUUAGGAAGACAAAAAUGAAUAAUAAAUCUGUCCAAAUAUGAGAUGAAAGCAAACUUCUUUCCGAAAACUAUUUUCUUACUCCUAUAUUGAUUAGUAAAAAACAUGGGGUUAGAACUUAAAAGCUUUUCUGUCGACAAGGGUGGAGUAGUCUUGUCCAAACCAAGACAAGAUUUGGAAGGAGAUUACAAAUAUUUAAGACAAGUCUUGUCCAUAAGGGUCAAAUCUUGUUUCAAAGUGUAAUAUAUAUAUAUGUUGCCCCAACCAAUAGAAAGUUAGCUUAAAAUGUUAGAGGGUUCAAUUGAACCCUCUCGCCCCAUUGUGCCUACGCCCCUGAAUGUUCUAUUAAUUUGUUUUGACUUUAUCAUAAUUAAUUGCAUCAUAAAUUUCUUGUGAUUAUUGACUUUGGUAUAUAUUUAUAUAUUAUACUCAUUAGGUUUUUUUUUUUUUGAUCAAAUGCUCAUUAGGUAUUUAGUAAAAAUUCUGAUAUUUCUUUAAAAUAAAAAUAAAAAUUCCAAUAAAUAUGAAACAAAUAAAAAGAUAUACAAUUUAAAGACGACGUAAACCUUGUUAGUUGACUCAUAUUUAAAUUAUGGCAAUUUGUGUAAUUCUUUUGAAAAAAAAAAAAAAGAAAUCUAAUAUUUGAUCCUAGUUGGCAAUAAUUGGGUGUAAUUUAAAACAAUUUUAUGAGUGAGUUUAAUAUAAAAUGUGAUUUGAAUAUUAAGUGUAAAAUGAAAUGCCUCAUCAAACAAAUACGGGGAAAUAUGCAUCAUUAGGUUAGAUAAAAUGAAAUCUCCACACACCUGUAAGCCAAAGAGGUACCACCAUGACCCAAUGACAUGGGCAACCAGCAAAAAACUGAGUGUGUUUACAAUGAAAUUCGUCCAAAUUGACCCGAAUACAAAGAAUCCAUUCAAUGAUCGACCAGCAAGAAGGGACAAAACCCUAUACACCCUAGGAAAGUAUUGAAGAAAUAUUGCCAGGUGUAGAAGAUUCUUGGUCUCAUUUGUUCGUAGAGAAAAUCUUCCGUGCAACAGCCGCACCAGCUGACAUGUGCGACCAGCCGACCAACAAGUGCCUUGAUUUUUUCCACGCCAGCAAACUACGAAAAAGGCUCCAAGUUUAAAGUUGAAAUUUCAUUAUCCCGCCGGAAGCCAGAGUUAUAUUUAAAUUAGGAUUUCUAGGUGGUUAUUCUAAUCCAGGGAAGAACAAACGCCUCACUUUUCAGAUUACGGUCUCCUCAUUCCUCCCACUCACUUUUCUCCCACCGAUACUGAUAAUUCAUCAUCUCAUUUCCUACCGUUUCCAAAUUCAUGAACACAGAUCUUUCUAGACCCGAUUCAUGAACAUAGAUCAUGCUCGACCCGAUUCACGAACAGAGAUCUUUCUCAACCCGUUUAGUUCAUUCUCAUCGGUCAGGUAUUAUCUUUCUAUGCUGAAAUUAUGUGGCACCUCUUAUCUUCAAUCUUUUAUUCUUUGUGAGUGUAUCGUGUGGAUGGGAUGGACUGGAGAGAUAGAUAAUAGUUGAAAAGAAGACCAUGGGGAUGAGUUGGUUUUAGUCUCCAAAUUGAGGUUUAGGAGGUGGGUCAUUUUCUUGGAAUUCCAAUUUUUUGAGGUUUGGGAGGUGGUUUUUUUUGGGUUUCAAUCUGGACAUCUUACAUGCUUUGCCAUGGAAAUAGUACAUGCUUUGUUGUAUAUAGGAAUGAAUGAUGUGAACCCACCUGGAUUACUAGUCUGAUAGUCUCCGUUUGCAUAGACUUUUCUUAAUUCAAUUUUAGAUGCACACAGUUCUUUUUCCUGGAGCUUGCUUUCAGGUACUUGGAUAUUUCACACUUUCUCUAUGUUGGUCUUUUCCCUUUCAUGUAUUUUUCAGUUUGUUAGUUAUAGGAAGUGAUCAAGCACAUUCUUUGUCAUGGCUAUUUGGGAGGUUAACAGUGUCUCACUGUCUCUAUUCUCUAAAUUAGUUAAAGAUGCUUUUUGUUCAGAGCUUUUUAUUGUGUCUUUAAUUAGACAAAGAUAGUUUCUUUAUAGCAGUAGUGAACAAGGGUUUAAAGUAGAUGAUUUUCUUUUGAGUUUAUUGUUUUGUGCGUGUGUUGCAGUGUUAGAUAUUAGUAGAUAAGCUAAAGGUGAUGACGGAUCAGCCAAAAGCCAAGAGGUACAAAAAUCUCUGCUCACGGUUUACAACUAAUAAUACUCCAUCAAGUGAUAGUGACGAUGAGAUUGAGAUAGGGAGUGGGAGUAGAAAUGUGACUGUGGAUUGGCAUUGUUGACAGUUUUGGUACUCUAUGUGCGUGCAUACAAGGAAUGAAAGCAUUUCGAAGAGAUUGCCGAAGCUACAGAAUUCAAGAGAAUCACUUUAUAUUGUAUCAAUCUAUUAGCUCCGAUCGAUUAGUACUUUAUUAUGAUACAUUGUGGUGUAAUUUUGACACAAGUAAUUUUUCAUUGUGUUAAAUUUAGUUGUUACAAUUAUAAUCAAUCAAAACCUUCAUUUGACAUCUCUUUUUCAUUGUCUUCCAUUUUGUUUCAGUAGAAUGUACCUUGAGUAACAUUAUCAUAUCUUGAUCAGAGGCUUGGUUUCAUCUCUGGAUUUUGUUGCAUUAUUACCUUUUGGUUUGUGUCAAAGAUUAAAGAUAUGGUUAAAAAUUGAGAAAGAAAAAAGCUGAUGGAAAGAUACUUGAAUUUGUGAUGCUUAAACUACUAAGAUAUACUCAAUGAUCGAAUGUAAUCAUCAUAAAAAAAUAUUGUAGCACAGGUUACAUACAAAAGUUCGAUCAAAACAAGCUCUAAACAUGUCUUCGAUUCAGUUCUUAUAAAAUGCUCAUGUUAGUACUACAUCAUGAAACUUGCACACAUGACUUCAGUUCUCAUAAAAUGGUCCUCUUAAUACUGCAUCAAUGAAACCUGCACAAUUUAACUUCUGUAACUAUACUGUAAUUCAGGUUCAAUAUCAUCAACUCAAGCAUAUAAUAUUAAAAUACAGAACUAACCUCACUGAGGUUGUUGUCUAAGUGUAGGAUCAAUAGUCAAAGUCGCAGUUGGUGCAAGAUUCAACCCUGUAGUAUUCUACAAAUAUAGAACUAGUUUAUUUUCAAUAUAGCCAACUAAAAUGUAUGAAUGUACUAAGAUUUCAAAUAUACAUAUACCUGGUUUGAGAAAGGCAUCUGACCAUAACUAACAUGUGAAUGAGGAUGCUCAAAAGGCCAACUUAAAUUUCCCUGAAAGAGAAUGACAUGUAUGAAUAUGUUCAGUCUGUAAUACAUAAAGAAACAUACAUAUAAAGCUUCAAAAUGCAGACCUGAUUACUGAAUGUUGGGGUGUUGGGUACUCCAAACUGAUUACUCACUGUUGGGAUGUUAGGUACUCCAUACUGAUUACAGAAUGUUGGGAUGUUAGGUACUACAAACCGAUGAUUAUUGAAUGUAGACACAUCAGUUGGAGCUUUUGGAUCAUUAUUUUCUUGGUUUUCUUGUUCUGCAUCAGUAAAAAUUUCAGCUAUACAAAGUACACAAAACAAGAACUAUCAAUAUAAGCUUAUUUAAGAACUAUAUAAAAUAUGUAUGUACCUUUUGUUCUCUUCUUCCUUUGAUUUGUCUCCAUCACAUCUUUGAUUCUACUAUUUUUCAUUCCCUUAGUCUUUGCAUUUGGUGGGUUCAAAACUAGUGUCUCAUUACUAGAAAUGGUAGAGCCAGACUCAGCACCAAAAUUCUUCAGAUUUUCCAACACGUAAAGGGUGUCCUUGUCUUUUUCAAGACGCUUCAUUGCCUCUGUUAACAAAUGCUUGACAAUUUUAGUACCUAAACUAGUUAAUGAGGCUAUGUCAUACACAUUAUUUCCUUCAUGCAUCAAUUCGCUGAGGCGCAACACUCUAGCAGUCUUUAAAUUCUCACUUGUUCCUACACUUGUGUCACUGCUGACCACUACCGUACCCCUUUCUUUGCCUCUUUAGUCCACCUCUUCAAUAUAUACUGAGUUGGUAAAGUUGUGAUAUUAUUUGUAUCAAACACCUUCAAAGCAUGACGACACAAGAUCCCAACAGACUUAAAUGACUUACAAGAACAAGAUAUGCUCAAGGAUGUAGAGUUGUAUUCAAUCUUGUGCACACUUUCACGACCAUCUUCAAUUGCUUCAUAUACAUAAACUUGAUCUUUACUGGAAACUUCUUUUAGUCUAACUCCCAUACAACUAUAGAAUUCUGUUUCAAAAAACUGAAAAAUUUUGUUAGUAUAAACCUUGGCAGCACUGCUUAACAUCUUAGUCCAUACUUUUGGACGACGUGCACCAUUUUUGCUACGGUAGUCAUCUUCUAACUCUGUUAAACGCAACUCUUCAAUCUUUUUCUUAUAGUGAUGAACAAAUUUAAUAAGCUCCAUUGUGUGUGUAGAAAUUCCUUGGAACACAUUGUUUGUACUUUCACUCCUUUGAGUAGAUCUAAUCCUUGCCGAAAAAGUGUCCAAAUUAAAUGCUGCACACCACUUCUGUCGGAGUGAAUACAACUUUGCUAGCCAAGGAUUAUUUCCGAGAUUAUAUCUACCAAUCAAGUUAUCCCAUAAAACCUGAAAUUCAAUUUCAGAACAGCACCCAUGUAAACAAUGGUUGAAUUGCUUCUUGAACUCUGGAUUUCCAAGAUAACUACCAAUUUUCUUUCGGCAUUCUUGCCAAUAUGCCAAGUGCACAAUCAAUGGGAUGCACCUGGAAACACUAUUUUAACUGCCUUUGCCAUUGCUUUAUCUUCAUUUGUGAAAAUAGUUUUUGGUGCUUUAUUUCCCAUCGACUCCAAAAAGGAUUCGAACAACCAAACAAAAGACUCUGUAGUCUCAUCUAAUAGAAAUGCACAUCCAAACACAACAUUUCUCCAAUGAUGAUUAACUCCAACUAUUGGAGCACAAAUCAGAUCAUACUUGUUUGUACGAAAUGUUGUAUCAAAGCAUAUAACAUCACCAAAACAAUCAUAAUCUGACUUUGCUCUACCAUCCCUCCAAAAGAAGUUUAUCAUUCAGCUAUAUUGGUCCAAUUGCAUUGAAUAGAAAAAGUUAGGGUCCUCACCUUGUUUGUGCUUAAAGUGAUUCAGCAAGCUUUGUGCAUCACCUGCUUCCACCAUUUCAUUCUUUUUUCUUUGCAAGUAGUUGUAGACGUCUUUCUUAGUGCACCCAACAUUUUCUGAACCACCCACUUCAUUUGCUAUGUAAAAAAAUGCUUUUGUUGCUCCUAUUCUUGCAACUUUCAUGGAAGUAAAAACUUGUCCACAAGCAUCUGUUACUUUUCGCCCAGAUCUCAAAAAUUGCCUUUCUUCAGGGUUUGCAAGCUCAUGGUUAUGAUCUGAAUUGAUAUGUGAUAUUGUCCAUAUCCCAUCUUUCACAAUAAACGAUAUCAUAGCCUUGCAACCGACUCUUGUUUCCAACUUCCUAUGUUUGGUUGGUUCAAACACAUCUUGGUCUUGUGCAAACCCUUCCUUUGAACAUACAAACUCUCGUAACCGGAUGUUAUUUGAUGCAUCUCUUCUAAUAUGUGACUUACGAACACUGAAACCCUUCCUCAAAGCAUAGGUAUUAUAUAAAUUGUAAGCCUCCUCAUCUGAGUGUACUUGAGUUCCCACUUUGAGUUCUUCAUCGUCUUCAAUUAUUUCCUCCAUUCUUUCACAAGCCAAUUUAACUCUGUAAAACACAAAAAAGUUUAAGCAAAUUUUUGGUCAAUUGCAUAGGACUUUCAAGUAUCAAUGAUCAUUAGUUAAUGAGAAAAUCUAUUAGAUUAGAAAAACCAAUCGUACAAACACCAAAUCACACAGUGAUUGAAUAAUCAAAAUCUAAAGGAUCAGUUUAAGUAUCAGUUUAUAUACAACCACUUUUAAGUAUUGGUUUAUAUACAACGUCUUCAUUACUCAUCAAUUCUUUGUGUCAAGUUCACACAGAGGAUCAUGACAAAUCCAAAACAAUCGAACCCAAAUACUCAUAAGAAAAGCAAAGAAAUACUAACCUGAAUCAAAUUGCUUAUCGAGAUGAUCUUGUAUUGAUUAAAUUGAGCAAUCAUGAGAACGAGCUAACAGGUCGAGAAAGACUGGUUUUGGUGAAUCUGAAAAUUGAUUAUCAGUAAUGAGGAGACCCUAAUCUGAAAAUUGAGUGAGAGGAACAAGAAGUCGUCCACUGUUUGUUCUUCCCCAGAUUAGAAAAACACCUAGAAAUCCUAAUUUAGCUAAAACUCGGCGGGAUAAUGAAAUUUCAACUUUAAACUUGGAGCCUUUUUCGUAGUUUGCUGGCGUGGAAAAAAAUCAAGACGUAGCACUUGUUGGUUGGCUGGUCGCACAUGCCAGCUGGUGCGGCUGUUGCACGGAAGAUUUUCUCUUGUUUGUAACGAUCGCCGAACAAUCGACAACACUAUUAUCUGAACAAGAAUUUAAACCAAAAACAAGAAUAAAUCAAAUCUAAAAACCCGUCAUAUGGGGUAUCUGUAGAAAAAAAAAAAAUUAAUGACAUACUUGUAAUAAAAACAGUUAUGACUUGUAAUCUUAGUCUAUAAAGUUGGACGCACCGACUUGUAAUUGACAUUUGUAGAAUGAUCAUAUUUAAACAAUUACACAUAAGCAUAUCAAACCAAUUCAAAGUGGACAUGAGAGAAAGAGCUUACCUGAGGAACCGGUAAUACAAUUAUUAGGUCGAUUAAAAAGUUUCCAUGGAGAUAAUUUAGAGCGAUUUUUUUUGGUUGGUCUACUAUUUCUCCUGGACCAACCAUUCUAGACCUAGGAACUUCAUAAGCCAGCCUAAACUGCCAUGCAUAAGCAAUAAAAAUUUAGAAAGGCUCAAACAGACAAGAAAAAGAAAAAAACAACAAUUUAUUUAAGAUACCAAUUGAAUAAUACAGAUUUAGAAUGACAUUUUUAAACAGAAUAUGUCAUGCACUUACUUGGAUAAGCAUGUGUAACAGAUAUAUAGUCUGUCACAGUCCGUAAAAACACCAGUAGUAUGGUUUUAUGCCAGUCCAUAAAUAUGCACUUCUGAUCCUGCAUUUUAAGAAUACAGAUACCCCUCUAUUAAAAAAAGAAUAGAACGGGAAACAAAUUUACAUACUAAAGCAAUUUUCGAACGGCUGUUAUUUUUUCUUUUUCUUUUUAAUAAGAAGAAGAAAUUUCUGCUUCAAGAAUAAUGCAGUCUCAAAAUUUAAUGCAAACAUAUUUUAAAGUGAUGACAUCAAGUGAGAGAAAAACAAAGAUAUAGAAAGAGAGAAAGAAAAAAUAGAUUGUUCCGCGCUCGCAGAGGCCGCCGGAAUGGUAGCUUCUAGCAGAGGCAACCGGAAUCAAUAGGAGGAUCGGAUACCGUUGUGGGUUUUCGGGUCAAGGAACAAGGCCGAUUAGUUUGAGUUUUUCUACACCUUGUGAUAUCUCGAUAUUUCUAUUUCAAAUAAGGAAGAUUGAGAGAGAAAAUCGAGGGUUCAAGGAGGAGAGCAGAGAGCAUAUUGGGGAAGAAGAAGAUGAGAUGAUGAGGAAGAUGGAGAUCACGCGCCGUGAAAAGAAACGUUUGUGAUCCCUCACUGGGUCAACUGAAGAACCUUCGGCCGAAUAGCUGUUUCUUCUUCAACACCCUAUUUCAAUCGAAUUUGGUCGGCGCCUUUGCAGAUUUACACUCUAACACAGUGGAUUUGAGUUUUUUUGGCACCAAAUUUUGUUAGCGCGUAUAGUACAUGCGCCGUUUAGGAAAGAAGAAGACGCAUCAGAAGAUACCGAUGCCGAAGCCUCACCCUGUGAAUGGAAGAAUCUCCGACGUGCAAGAGAGAGAAAACAAGAUAAAGAUAAAAUACCAUUUCUCUCUCUCUCGUCCCCACUCCCCCAAGUGUCCAAACCCCAACUCCCCAAGUGUCCAAAUUAAUCCCUAACUCCCCAAGUACCAACCAUAGCCAGGCCGGACCUGAGAUUUCAAGGUCUGAGAUGAGUUUUAAGAAUGGUGUCCUCUAAUGACCGGAAAGCUUCACCUUGAGCAGAGGAGUUUGAGGAGACCAGUAAUGAGGAAUAAAACUGGCAUAAUGGUUUAGAAGUUUGGGAGCAAAACCCAGUUUUUAGAGACGGAGGGGCCCACUAACUUAACAGUGAGGAGAGGAAAAAAGAAGAAGUUAAAAGAUAAACAAGUGGUUAACCCUUCUCUCCUCUUCUAAACCACAAAAAUCCAGUUUUUAUUAUCAUCGACAACCAUCACUGCUCAUCAUCAUCCCCGUUUCAAACUUCUCUCUCUCCCUUCUCUUCUCUUCUAAACCCAACCAUUUCCUCUGUUUUUCAUUUCAAAAAACCAAAACCCAAACAAUUAUAGCUUUAAGCUUUAGUUUCCAUGGCUAGCAGACUUUUCUAAUCCCUCCUGCUCAAGGCAGCUACCGGAUUUUGGUGCCCCCAGAUUUUUGGGGCCUGAGGCAGCCGCCUCGUCGGCCUCACCUCAGGUUCGGGCCCAAGGAAGAAAAUUUCGGUGAUUACGGAAAUUUUGACCCUCCAAAAUAUGGAAAUUUCGACGGAAAUUUCGGGGAAAUAUCGAUUGCAGUAAAAAAAUUGAGAAAAUUGACGGAAAUUUGAAGAAAAACAAGGAAAUUUUAAACCAAACUUUAAGAGAUGUUUGUUUUCUAUAUUAUGUACUAUAUUUGAAAUGAAAACCUUGAAUAAACAUCGAUCUAUAAGGAGUUGUAGUAAGUUAAGGUGAAAAAGUUAGUGCUGAACCGUUAAUAAUUCUUAGAAGUUUACUUUAAACAUUUUUUUUUUAUGGCUGGAAACCCAAAGGAGGCUAGGUCAUCACGCUUUAUAUACAUAUGAUAUAUUUCACAUGGAAUUACAUGAGUACUUUAAAACCACGUAGAAGACCUAUGAUGUACAAAAUUUUCAUUAUCUUUAUCGUCUCUCUGUGUAGAGCCUUCAGUAUAUUGUGAAGAAUAGUCAUUAAAUAAUACCUCACCUUUAUAGAUAUAUUAAAAAUGAAUUAAGAAGUGUAGGUAAAAAAUCUUUUUUAUGGAAGUGUAGGUAAAAAAAUUAGUUGGAGAUUAGACAUUUACCUAAUUUUUUACUUUUCAAAUUAAAAAAACCAAUAUAUAUUAUAAAGAUACUAUAAUAAACAAGUUAAAUGGUUAGUAGGGUUGGUUAAGUUGUUAAUCUUGUACCAACCCGACCCAGGCUCGACUCACCUUCGCAGCAAAAUUCAAAGUCAAACAUUUCGGCAGGAAAGUAAGUUUUGCAGUGUUCAAAGUCAGGGGAAACAAUCAUUCAAAUUUGGGCGGGAAAGUGGGAAACCAUUUCAGCUUCGACUUUUCGGUGGGAUUUCAAAGUUUCGGCGAUAUUUUCGAAAUAUCGCGAUAUAUCGGAAAAUAUCGAUUAUUUCGGACGAAAAAUUCUGAGAAUGAAAAUAUAUAUCACCGUGUGAUAAAAACGAAAUUUUCGGCGAUAUUUCGACGAAAAUUUCGAUUUUUUCUUCCUUGUUCGGGCCUGACCAUAGCACAAUCGUUGUCUGCUAUUGUUGGGUCGCCGAUAUAGUUUUCUUAUUGGAAACUAUGCACUUUAUGUUAAUGCCUAGAGAACCCUAUUCCUCCAAAAAAGAAGAAGCCGGUGUCUAACAAGAAGCUGAAGAAAGAGAGGCUGAAGCAAGGCGUCUCUGCUCCAGCAGGCGAGUAAAUAUGGAAGAAAGACCGCAACUCUGCAUGCAUGUUGAGCUCACAUAUGUUGAGAGUUUGUUCUUUCAUUUCCCUUAAUACUAGAUGGAAUUGGACUUAGUAAUUGGAACCCUGUAUUGAUCUAGCAACCAGGGAGUGAGAAUGUUGUUCCUAAGACAGUUUUUAUCUUCAAAUUUUCUUUCUUAAACAAGUAAUAAUCAGACCUCAGAACUUAGAAUGAGUUACUUUGCCAAAUAAAAUAAAAAAUAAAAAAACAUAACAGAAAGAAAGGGAAGAAAAAGAAAAAGAAUAAAAAGAAAUAUUCUGAACCAUCAAUACUUUGUCUCUGUUCCUCAUGUGCUAGAAUAAACGAAAACAUCUAACUGUUUGUGAAAGAAAAAGAAAAAAAAACAUGUAAACUAAGACUAAUGCAAAAAGAAGGAAAAUAUACCUCAUGUGAAUAUAGCAGAAAGAAAUGUAGUGGAUCUACAAAAACCGCGACCAUGCAAGAUACUACAAAAAACUUGUUUUAUCUUCAAACAACUUUGUUAUCAGGUUCACAAUCCCGAUAACAUAGGGAUGCAAAAAAAAACAUGUUCCUUUAAACAAACUCAACAAAUUCUUUUUGUAUGACAUAUUUGUCUAUCGCUAAAUAUGAAAUGAGUGAAAUGUCGAUGAGGAUGAUUGUGAAGUUGUUUGGAUUUAAAUGUAUAAUGAGGUACGGAUCGGAGAGAUGGGAGAAUGGGAAGUUCGAUAUAUGUAUUAGAUGAGUGAACUCAAUGAGGAUGAAGUUGUGAGAUUUAUGAUAUGGGAAGAUCGAUGCCUUAUAUAAAGAAGAGGACUAGAGGAGUGAUGUUGAUAUCACUGGAAUCAAUAUGUUUGGCCAUGUUUUUAAGAAAUGAUUGUUUUUAGUUAGGGACAGAAAAUUUUCAUGCCUAGUUGUGCAUGUAUUACCUAGAGACACAUUAUAUAUAUGAUGGUGUGCACGGUAAAAAGGCAUAUGAUAACGACUUCAAGGAAAGCAUUCAAAUUUUCUCAAAACUAAAGUAACACUUUAUUCUCCCAUAUUUCUAUCUUCAACUCUCUUUAAUCUUUCAUUCAAUUGGAAGAUUAACAUAAGAGAUGAACCAGUCUUGGUGGACCCAUAAUCACAUCCAAGCUUCACCGAAAUCAAAUCCUCUGUCUUCCUAAGCGAGGAUGGAUCAAGAACAUUAUAUGUAAGGGAUAAUUCAAAUUCAGCACUUUCUGGAAAGCAAUCUGAGAAAUCCCCAUGGGGCUUUUGUUGGGCUUUAUCCUAUUGUCUUUCUUCAAUCUUCAUCUAUUGUUCGUCUUUGUCUUAUACCCAUCUUCUUCCGUUCUCUGAUUCUGUGCAACUUUGAUCUUUAUCUUUGUCUUAAUCUCAUCCUGUAAUAAGUUUUUGACCCACUUUCCCUUUCGAUUUCUUUUUCUCUAUAAAUAUCUCUCUUGAGUCUCAUACACCCAAUCCCAAUUACAGUCAUUCAAUCUCGUCCUUCAUCGGCUCAUGUACAAACAAUGUUUUUUUUAGGAGCCACUCUACCCAGAACCAUCGGUGGUAUACUUUGGAAAAUAAAGUAUGUAAAUCAAUCUGCCACUUGCCCAUUGCAUCACCAAUAAUCGACACACCCAUUGAAAUCGAUUGAACCAGAUUGAAAUACUGAGAUGCAAGAGUGAAUUGAUUUUUCAGAGAAAAGAAAAUAUCAGAUCUAGAAGAAGAAGAAGAUUCGAAUGAAGUUAACAGAGCAAUUGACGUUAGUUCCUGCCAUUUGCUUGCUUGGAAAAAAAAUACAAACGUGUCAACACGAGUGGAUGGUCGUAUGAAUGACGUGGUGCGAGUGCCGCACCUAAGAGUAAGUCCACCCCAAACUCCAAAACUGUGACCCAGACCUUUAGCCAUCUCAAAUAAAGACUCAGACAAAAAAAAACCAAAUCCACCUAUAGAAAAAAAUGAUAACCCAAUCUUUAUUAGAUCAAGACCUGAGUUAGACUCAUAACCAGGCAGAAAAAUGAAGGCCCGGGCCUUCCCUCUCCAGCUCAGCCCACUUGCAUGGGUUUGCAUGACGUCAGCCAUGUUAGAAGACUUGGAGAGAUGAAAGAAGACGCGUCUUGAUGUGGGUGAAGAACACAGACCAAUUGUUGAUGAAAGAGGACGCGCGGGGAACUCAUUUUGUCGCCAUGCGGGGUUAGUGGAUGGGCCACAUGCACGUUCCAAACCUUCACACACCCAUUUAUGUGAAUCUGAUGGUAUAUAUUUAACAACCAAAUAUUUUUAUUACAGAAAUAAAUAGGAAUUAUAAGUUAUAGUUUUAUUUUUUUGGAAUUUUAAUUUCUUCAACAUCCCACAAAAAAAAAAUUGUGCAUUUUAGAUCCAAUUUUUCAUAUCCCUAGCAUUGCUAUUUAUUUAUAAAAUUUUCAUAAAUUUGUCAUAUUAAAUAAUUCCGUGGAAUAAAUAUUUUUAAUAAAUAUUAAACAGUCACUGUCACGUGGUGACCCAAAAACUAAAAUCAUGGGUGGAAACUACAGCUCAAAAUCACUGCCACGUGGCGACCUAGGUCUCGCCUAAGACCCAGACCUUCCCAACGAAGACCUAGAAGGUGGACUUGUUCUAAGAUGACACGGUGUGAGUGCCCCACGCAAGAAUUGCUCCCUGGACCGUGACCACGUGUUUUGGAUAGGGUAAUGCACUACAAAAAAUAUGCGUAAAAGCGACAGUUUUUUCCCCACAUUUUCAGUUUUCGUGGGAGUAUAGUACUGAAUAGUGUCAACGUUUGAAAUCUUUCGAACUCUCCCACGCAAGUCGCAACUUCGAAUUCGUGGAGUAUAAAACAAUAAAAAAUUGUUCUGUAUGGGUAUUUAAUUCUGACACUCUAUUUUUUUUUCCAGUUUAUAAUUCUAAAUUCAGUAAACACCACGCUUUUAACAAUUAGUGGGAAGUAAAUAAUAAAAUAUUAUGAUAGUGUGGAAUUAUGAUGUUGAAACGAUGUAAUUAUCAUGACAUUUUAGUUUCUUACCCGUUUUUAGUAAUUAAUUCAUUUGAAUGUCCCACAAAUAUGCACAAAACGUGAGAACUUAUCUGUACAAGUACAACUGUUGNNNNNNNNNNNNNNNNNNNNNNNNNNNNNNNNNNNNNNNNNNNNNNNNNNNNNNNNNNNNNNNNNNNNNNNNNNNNNNNNNNNNNNNNNNNNNNNNNNNNNNNNNNNNNNNNNNNNNNNNNNNNNNNNNNNNNNNNNNNNNNNNNNNNNNNNNNNNNNNNNNNNNNNNNNNNNNNNNNNNNNNNNNNNNNNNNNNNNNNNNNNNNNNNNNNNNNNNNNNNNNNNNNNNNNNNNNNNNNNNNNNNNNNNNNNNNNNNNNNNNNNNNNNNNNNNNNNNNNNNNNNNNNNNNNNNNNNNNNNNNAUCUAUAAACAAGAUAAACAAGAAAUGGAGUAAAAAUUUCAACAAAGAUUAAUUCCUGGUACACUUUCAUCUUUCUUAACAUCUUAUGGCAUUGAUAUUGACUGGAAUAGCUCACAAAUAAUUUGCAGAUUGCAACUCUAGUUAAAUCCAAUUUGUCAAUACUGCACUUUAAUGCAUCAGGACUCGAGCCUAGUUGUUAUAUAUACUUCUAUAGUAAAGCUAGUAUUAGUAUAUGUGAACAAAGUUCAAAUCUGUGCGUAAGAAUGAUCCUUUCUAAGUUUCUCAUCUGUAUUAUUUGAAUGUCUGCAGUUUGCGAUACCAUUUCCACCCUGUGACAGGUGGAUGCUGAAGUUUUUAGUAAUCCAGCAAUGAUUUUGAAGAUGAAAUUGACCAAUCUUCCAUGGAGACUAUAAAUCAUUCAGAAAGGGUCCCUAAAAUGUAAAAUUGUUUAGAAUUACAUAUGAAAGCUUGUAGUGCCUUUGAUUCCAUGACUGAAAUUUACAGGGUUAGCAUUUCUGGCUUACUAAAGCUUGUACUGGCUCCCACCAUAUAUGCCAAGAUGCUUAGAAGAUUUCUGCCAAUCUCUUUAUUUUGGCGUAUGUAAGGAUCAAAAACUGACAUGAUUGCAACCUAAGAGCUAUAAAAUUUGAUCAAAAUUUUCUCCAAUUCAGUCAUAUAUCAUGCUAGUCAAGUUCAUCAUGUUGUUUGGAAACAAUGUGACUUAUCAUGCGAAUUUCACGUCACUUAUCACACAGAAACGCUCUUACCAACCUCUCCGUAACCGAGUUUGGUUGAUUCUUUCAUACGUUAAACUCUCACACAGAUGAGACGUUACACAUAAAAAUUUGAAAACGUUUGAUUCCUGUUGAUACGGCUCCCCAUAAGGAAGAUUAAGGGUAAAAAAGGUUGACCGUUUUUAUCGGUACCCAAAAGUUACUCGAAAUAUGUGAUUUUUCAACCAUAGCCGUAUUUCACUAUUCCGAUCACAUCUUAUUUACGAGAUUUUUGCUUCCUUUGUACAGUUGGUUUACAAAAUUGUACACUUGCAUAUAACCUACUAAACAAGUUAUAUCACAUUAGUAGACACGUUGUGAUUUCGAUGACUAAAAUUCUCAAAAUGAAAAUUCCACAGUCUGAUAUGAUCAUUAUAGUAAACCAUGUCUAUGGUAUAAAAUUCAACUCUAUUCGGUAGCGUUCGGGGCUCGAUCGAAGCGGUCAACCAUAAUAUAUCGUCACUUAUCACACGGAAACGCUCUUACCUACCUCUCCACGACCUAAUUUGGUCAAUUCUUCCACACGUUAAACUCUCACAUAGAUGAAACGUAACCACACAUAAAAAUUUGGAGACGUUUAACUCUCGUUGAUAGGGCUCCCUAUAGGGAAGAUUAAGCGUAAAAAAGGUUAACUGCUUUUAUCGGCACCCAAACGUUAACCGAAAUAUGUGAUUUUUCAACCAUAGUAGCUAAACACUAUUUUGAUCACAUCUUAUUUCACGAGAAUUUUGAAAAUUUUACUUCCUUUAUGUAGUUGGUUUAAAAAGUUGUACACUUGCAUAUAACCUAUUAAAUAAGUUAUACUAUAUUAGUAGACACGUUGUGAUUCCGAUAACUUAAAAUCACAAAAUGAAAAUUCCACCGUCUGAUAUGAUCAUUAUAGUAAAUCAUGUCUAUGAUAUAAAAUUCAACUUGAUUCGGCAACGUUCGUGGCUCGAUCGAAGCGGUCAACCCUAAUAUAUCGUCACUUAUCACACGGAAACGCUCUUACCUACCUCUUUGUGACCUAGUUUGGUUGAUUCUUUCACACAUUAAACUCUCACAUAGAUGAGACGUAACCACAUAUGUAAAAAUUUGGAGACGUUUACCUCCCGAAAAUAGGGCUCCUUAUAGGGAAGAUUAAACGUAAAAAAUGUUACUGUUUUUAUCGGCACCCAAACGUUACCCGAAAUACGUGAUUUUUCAACCAUAGCUAUAUUUCACUAUUUUGAUCACAUCUUAUUUCACGAGAUUUUUGAAAAUUUUGCUUCUUUUGUGUAGUUGGUUUACAAAGUUGUACACUUGUAUAUAACCUAUUAAAUAAGUUAUACUAUAUUAGUAGACACGUUGUAAUUCCAAUGACUAAAAAUCAUAAAAUGAAAAUUCCACCGUCUGAUAUGAUCAUUAUAGUAAAACAUGUUUAUGAUAUAAAAUUCAACUUGAUUCAGCAACGUUCGGGGCUCGAUCGAAGCAGUCAACCCUAUUAUAUCGUCACUUAUCACACGAAAACACUCUUACCUACCUCUUUGUGACCUAGUUUGGUCGAUUACUCCACACGUUAAACUCUCACAUAGAUGAGACGUAACCACACAUAAAAAUUUGGAGACGUUUACCUCCCGAAGAUAGGGCUCCCAUAGGGAAGCAUAAACGUAAAAAGAGUUGACCGCUUAUAUUGGACUCGGACUUUACCCGAAAUACGUGAUUUUUCAACCAUUGCCGUAUUUGACCAUUCCGAUCACAUCCUAUUUCACGUGAUUUUUGAAAAUUUUGCUUGCACUGUAGAGUUGGUUUAUAAAGUUGUACACUUGUAUAUAACCUACCAAACAAGUUAUACCACAUUAGUAGGCACGUUGUAAUUCCGAUGACUAAAAAUUACAAAAUGAAAAUUCCACCGUCUGAUAUGAUCAUUAUAGUAAAACAUGUCUAUGAUAUAAAAUUCAACUCGAUUCGCAAUGUUCAGGGCUCGAUCGAAGCGGUCAAUAUCUUAUGACACUACUAGCAGCCUGAUCUUUAUUAGCAUUUUUCAUGGCCACGUUUUUCAUGGCCGAGCUCAUCUCACCCCUGUACUGUUCGUAAAGUUUCCUCCAGUUGUUCAAGCAGUGUUUGGGGACUUGAUUAAUGUCAAAAAUAGGAAGUUUCUUGAUUUCUGAACAAGGAUACAGAGGAAAAUCAGUAUGUUAAAAGUUGAAAUAAAUCAUUUUUUAUCUAAAGUUAUAAUUUGAUGGAAAUUUCAUAACUUUGAAAUACUAAAAGGAUUUGACAUGGGAACAUCACAGAAAGCUAUCAUAACCUUUGACAGAAAUUGGUUCAUGAUCAACAUUAAACAUUAUCUACCAUCAAAUUUUAAAAGAUUUUGGUUGAUUUAUAACAAUCCAUAGAUUCUGCUAAUUCUAUGGAUUGUUUUAAUUCCAUAUGGAGUUUAACAAAUUUUAAUAGAUUGAUUUAUUAGUAUUCUUUUAGACUUUUAUAAGUCCACAGAUUGUUGUAACGGCAAUAAAUAAAAAAAAGUUUCUUAAAACACAAACAAUACAGUAAAAACGAUGAUGACUUGAAACAUAAUGCUCUGAUACAAUAGUAUAUAGGUUACUAGUAUCACAUCAUACAGAGAACUGUAUCAAAUCCAAUCUCUCUGUUUGUGAUCAACUCCCCUAUAAUUGAAUAUUCAAGGAACAAUUUUCCCAACAUAAGCACUCAGAAAAAUAGAUUUUCAUCACCAUCUAAAAGCUAUCUAGCAUUAUUAACCAGAUGCAGACCCAUAAUUCUUCCCACACACAAUUAGCUGCAACUCGUCACAACCAGAAAUUAAAGAAUACCAACACCAGCAAUGGCAUGGAGGACGUUUGCAUCAACACCCUUGAACAAGGACUUAGCACCCACAUUCUUCAAGAUCUGAGUGAAGGCUUCAAAACUCUUGUACUCGACAGCUUCACCAGAGGUCAUUAUCUACGAACAGUGUCAAUUGGGUAGGAAGAUAGACCAGCACCAUUUCUGAUGACCUAGGAGAAGUACUACAAGUCAAAAACAAAAGGAUGAUUAUCAAAAACAAAAUGAUGUCAGCUGGAAUACCUACAAGCCAUAAGAAUCUAGUCGUGGACAAAUAAAGUAAAUAUAAAUACAGCUUCCGCCAACACACUGAAGUUGCAUAUCCUUGGAAUCAAACCACCAAUAUAGGAUAAAUAGAAUUUGCAAGCACAUAAAAGUACAAAGAAUACCAAUCAAAUUACUACAGGCCUUAUGAUAUAAGUGUCACUACAACGCUUAAUAAGAGUUCAAAAAUGAAUGAUCCACUGAUCCAUGAGUGACCACACUAACACUUGAGUAAUACAGGACCUCAAUACUUUCCUACUAAAAUAACCAUUUUAAACAGUAGUAUAAGGGUAUUCAGAAUUUCAGAUAUGAUACAUGAGUAGCAUAUAUUAAGAUCGCAAAUUGAAGAAAACAUAUAUAUCUCUCGUAGUUAGAAGAGAUGGGACAACAGUUGGAUAAUGACAUAACUAAUCUUUGGUUUUCAAAGUUUAUCUGCCCAUCCAUUCAAAACAAACGAAUCAUUAUUAGCCGCUAAACAAAUCACAGAGUCAUUCCUUUUACCCUCAAAGUUAUCAAUGUUGUUCUUGUAACUAGGCACGUGUUGCUACAAACAAUUCCCCUUAUACACACCCUGACCUACAGACAUAUAUACCAAUAUCCAACACUCAAACAAUUCCCCUUAUACACCCUGACCUACAGGUUUGUCUUUCUCAAGUUCAGACUAUCUUAGCAUACUGGAAAUCAUAUGCCAUCAUUCUGAGAGAAAUUUGUACAGCCUCCUCAAUCUCAAGCUAACUAGCUCUUAUAAUCAAUGCACUCAGUUAUGCGCCCUACGUACUUCUCUCUCUUUUUCCUCUACAAAACUUGAUGCUUUGGCCGUCAACCAUGAAACUGUUUCCAGGAAAGAUAAUGUACUGCAAUCAUCUACUUGUUCGUGCAAACCAUUGAGUUCAGACUUCAGAUACACCAUGUGUAAUGUGGAUUUUUGUGAUAGAGAUAUUUCCCUAAAUUAUUUAUUCUAUUAGUCAAAACCUUGUUAAAAACAUAAACUAGCAGCUUUUAAUGUCUUCCUGUAGACAUCAACCUUAGGUUUCAAAUUCUAGCUUGAUUCGAUUAGUUACACAAUCAACCUAAGCAAGUGUUCGACAUAAUGAUUCUGAAACAAAUGCGACGUACAAUACCAGCACGAACCCCAACAAGAAAUAUGAGAUUAAGAUUCAAAUACGAACAGAAAAGAGAAACAAAGAGCAUGAUUGAUACCUUUCGAGUGAAAUAUGGAUCAUUGGCGAGAACGAUGGUCUCGAAACUGAGUCGUUUGAAUCGUUCGCAGCGGUUGAUUCCUUCGUUUUCAACGGAGGCACCGCCGCCGCUGUAGAUCUUUGACUCGGAAGAACAUCACUCAGAGCCUCAUCGAGCUUUCGACUUGAAGAACAACCUACCGAGGAGAGAACCCAGUGAGCUCUCCUCAGACUCCAUCAAAAUCUCGUGGGAGAGGCCAGAUUUCUUAAUGGAAUUUGUAUUUAUACCUAGCCCUCUAAAAUCCAUCAAAAUCUAACAACUGAUGGAAUCCUUGAGAAUCUAUAGAGUUUUGAAUACCCUCGUAUUUUGAUGGAUAUUUUAAAAUCUGAAUCGAAUACAUCAAGAUUUAUAAGGAGUUUUUAAAAUUUGAUUGAAUACCCAUAGAUUUUCAGAAUCCAAAAAAAUCCAACAGACUCCCAAUUGAAUACACCCCCCUAUGUAGUUCAAGUCUCACCUUGGAACCUCUCACAGAAUUGUCUAUAAGCAUCAGAAGGAGCAGACAGGAUUUCAUCGGGAGAAGGGGAGGAACAAAGUGAUUGUCCAUUGCACAAUGUCGCCGGCAAUGGAUUGGAAGUCUCACCUGCACCACACAAACACACAAAACUCACUAAUUUGCUUAAAUUUCAUCAUAAAUUUCGGCUAAUCACUAAAAGCAUCAACUAGAUUAUAAGUCUAACCCUGAGACUGAAAACUUAAAUAAAAUGGUGCAUCAGUAACUACGACCUUUACCAUCAGACUUGCUUUGACAAGAAUAAGUGUGUGCCACUUUCACUGGAGAAUAAGGUGAUUGUGUAUUGUUGUUGUUUCUGGGUUGCUCUAGAACAGUAAAUGCCUCACCUGCACCAAAAGCUUUAUUAUAGUCAUAUAACAGCAUUGACCACCAACAAAAUGAAUCAACUUGAGAGAGUGAAAGUAGUGACAAACCUUGAAACCCAUCAUCAAGUUGGCCAGGACCAGACAGUCUUUGAGAAGAAGUGCGUGCAAGUUUCAUCGGAGAACCCGAUGAAUAAGGUGAUUGACCUCUAACAGGUGGCAGGUGAUUAAAUGCCUCACCUGCACCGAAAAUCUAGUCAUAUAACAGUGAUGACAACAAGUCCAGUAGUCCACAACCAAAUGAAUCAACUUGAGAAAGCAAAAUAUGACAAACCUUGUGACUUCUCAUGAACUUGUGCAUGAGUAGACAAUCUUUGAUAAGAACAACUCCCUGUUGCUUUCGAUGGAGAACCAUAGCAGUAAGGUAACCUGUCACUAACUGCCUCACCUGCACCAAAAUCCUUAACACUAUCACACACAAAACACUCAUAUGACCACAAUGCAAUGCAUCAAAAUAGAGAACGCAAGAAGCACAACAAACCUCGAGACCUCUCAUCAACUUGUACAUGAGCAAUAAAGCUUCCAUCACAGCUUCCGGGUUGCUCCACAACACCAUACACCUCACCUGCACCAAAACCCACAGAUCCAGUUUCCCUCACUAUAUCAAACCCACAGUAAAGAACACUGGAGACCAUCAUAUAUACCCCAACCCUGAACAUGAAGUGAUGAAAACUAUACCGAACCGGGAUCGAUCCAUGAACAUAAAUCAAUCAGAACUAACAAACCCUAAACAUUGGUAAGGCUGACGAGAUUAAUAAAUGGUAAACGGCGUGUUGUGUAAGCUUCGGCAAUGUAGACUGUAGAGUGGAGUUAAUUGAUUGAUAGGUUCAUAACUCUGAAGCAUGCAACGCCAUUUGUUUUUGGUCUUUUCCUAUCAAAAAUCCUACACUUCUAGUCCAAUUAUUCUUUAAUCCUGCACAUAAUCUGAUGCUAAUUUACCAAAACUAAAGAUCCUGAGCUCAAAUCAAGAACAAAAUCAACACUAGAACUCGACUCGACCCGAGAAUCGAAAUGGUACCUUGCUGAUUGGUCCCUGAAGGAGAGAGUGACGCUCUCCGAAGCUUCUCCGCUGGGCUUGUUCACCUAGAUCCACGAGACUUCAUCGGAAACCUCGGCAUCCGGAUCUGCGGCGCCGCCGAUCUUCGUGACCAGCCGGACCUUUCGCGAUGUGCUGGAGCGGCGUUUAGGGGUUUUGGUGAGGUCGGGGUUGCCGGAAGCCAUGUGAAAAAUUAGGUCUGGGAGAAAUUAGGGUUUCAAAUUCGAGAUCUGAAAGCUUCGAAAUUGAGAGAGAUGAGAGCAAAGGCCAGUUGGGAAUUGAAAUUGGGGGAAAUUGAAAUUUAGAGAGAACUAAAGCGGGGAGUGGGCGGAAGCAAAGAUGAAUAGGAUAGUCACCCACGCACGACGCGCCUCGCUAGGCGUGCUUACAAUUGACAGUUAAAACGAGUUAAUUACCUUUUCAUUUCCGUCAGAAAACAAACGCGGAGCACAGACGCUCCGGAGCAUUCCAGACGUCUCCUCUCCUUCUAUCUUCUCCUCCCUUCUUUCUUUGUCUGUAACUCAUCAAAGCUUCAUUGUUCAUUCUUCCUUCAUAAACGUUUUUAGCUGAAAAACGUAUCUGUGGUGAACUCGAAAACGAAUCUCUCUUAGCCGGUGUACAGAAAUAAAGAAGUCUUUCACACUACCAGAAAUGUGGGCAACAAACACCAUCAUAAUGAUGUGCAUUGAACCAAUGGAAACUAAUCAGUGGUGUGGAUUCAUGAUAGCCACGGCCCUAGCCACUAUUAUGAGAUUAGUUUGCAUUGCUGGCGUGGCUUUUCCUAACAAUACACUAUCAUCUUUUUGGUGACUACAUAUAUACUCACUAAUUCAAUCUUUGGUGACUUCAUUGAAUUAAUAAAUAAAAAAAUAUUCAGCUAUAAAACUCUAUGGGUCCUACAUAUUCAGCAAAAGCAUCUUCAAAACCAGCUUCUUUAAAUUCAAAACCGCGAUCUCUAUCUCGUCUCUAGUAUCUCCUGCAAAGCAACAACAUGGGCAAAGAUUACUUGGCUAUAAAUCACCCCUCAUAAUUUUAUUUCCUUCAUAUAACAGAUGAUAUGUAUCUUGUGGAAAUAAAAUCAAUGUAUCCAGUGGAAAUAAAAUUAACUUGAAGCUCAUAAACUAUCAACAUGUUCAUAACCCGUGACUUUGUAAAAAUAUAAACUUAAAGCUCAUAAACUAUCAACAUGUUCAUAACCCCUGACUUCAUACCUAUAUCAACUUGAUGAACAAGUUCAUAUAAAAGCUCCCUACAUGUUAUGUAUCACAUACCUUAGUUCUUAAUACAAGAUAAUCCUCUCCUCUCUCUUUUUCCAUCACUAAAAUGCAAGUAUAGUGUACAAAGUCCACAUCUUUUCCUGCAAGCAGAAAAACACACUUUGGGUAAGUUGGCCAGAAAACAUACAAUAAAUUUCUUUUGGGUAAGAACCUUAGAAGAAACAAUUAUCAUUCACAUUUAUUAUAGUAAAACCUGGUUCAAGUUCAUAAAUUAAGCAUCUAUCGGCAUAGUUGACACAUAGAAGGUAAAAUCUGAAGCUAGAAAUGAGGUUAUAGUGAACAAUAAUGUAUUAUGAAUUAAGUUCCCAAGGAAUGGUAGUAUCAUAUAUAGUAAUGGUAGUAUCAGCCCACUUUUAUGGAUGAUGCAUAUUCAAUUACUGAUUCACAUUUACAAAAGAAUAUAAGCGUACCUUAUUGAGUGAACGACAUUUUUUUGUCUCCUCAUUCAUACGGUCUUGCAGCUUUCUGUUUCAGAAUGAACACCCUACAAAAAAAACUGCAUAUGACCAGUCAGUUAAGAAUCUUAAGAAGUUCAAAUAGAUUGAUAUGAAUCAAGGACAAUUGUAUACAAAUUAAGAACUGAUAAGGAGGGAAGAUAAAUAUGUAGGUGAAGUUUACCUCCUUCAACACCAGGGCAUCUAACUAUUCUUUUGUCAUGGUAAGACUUGACUAUAGGAGGCGCUUCCUAUAACACAGACAACAUACUAGCCUCAAUACACAAUAAUGGAAGCCCUAAACAUUAUUUGUACAUGUUCUAAACCAUGUAAACAUGCUUCAACUUUACCAGUUGAAAUUGACACAUAAGAGGUGCACAAUACGCAUAUUUUUUUGUCUAUUCAUUCGAUAGAAAGCAAUUAACCAUGUAACCACAAAAUUCAUAUGGUAAGAUCGAGGAGUCUGACAACUAUUAUCUCUUUUUUCAUUCAUUCACUCGAAGAUCAAAAUAUAAAUAAAAAACACCUUCCCCUCGAUAGUUAUUAGAAAUCUGCAAUUAGGAAUCAAAAGACUCUUGUUUAAGGUCUAAAAGUAUGAAUGUAAAAGCCCACUUCUACGACAACAAAUGCCAAAGUCAUCUCAUAUAAUUUAUGAAUAAUGAAGCAAGAACAUGAAACAAAAAAAUUAAAUCUUCAGAGUACCUUAGUACCAAAAGGAUUAAUUGGAUUAUUAAUCUCAAGAAUUUCCUCCCCUAAAAAUUAAGUCUUCGGAGUACCUUAGUACCAAAAGCAGAUAUAAACUAACAAUAAUAUGAAGUUUGACUAUCAUAUUCAUCUCAUCACCCAAAAACAGUGAUGUAAGCUACUUAAUAUAACAGACCAUAAAAGCUGGAAGAAGCUAGUUAUGCAGUAAUUCUCUAUUUGGUGUAAAGAAUAUAAAACUCCAAAGAAACUGCAUUUGAUUGAAGAGUUCAUAAAAUUGAUUUCCCAUCAAGAAUAUACAGUCACAUUUAAGAUUGAUACAAAAGACAUAUCUACAAGUUAAAUGUGCAGACAUACUGACAAUUAAACAUUAGUGUCUACAUGAACUCCUUUUUUUCUUAUUGAUACAUGAACUCCUUUUAUACCACAUCAAACUAAUAAUAAUCAAGUUAUUAGUAGAGUCCUUACUUAAACCUCAUGAACAUUACAAAGUAUUGAAAGCGAAUAAACAUCUCAGAGAACAGAACUCACCAGGUAAACAACUUCUAUUAAAUAAUUCUCGACAUUGUCAUUUCUGAAACAACAGUAUCAAGAAUAAGCACCCAAAUUAACUAUUAUAUAGUCAGCAGUUAUAAAAUUUCAUCAAAAAAGAAUUUUCAUCAGUUAAAUUAUAUCACCUUCCACAGUUCCACCUUUCAUUAUCCUAAAGAUCAUGAAAAUGUCCAUUCCUUUUCUGUUCUUUUGACCAGUGUGAUAAGCUUCAUUCCAACCCUAAAAAAUUAACCCCAAAGUUCAAGUUUUGCGGUGGAGAAAGAAUGCAUGCAAGAGCCUCUAAAACCAAAAUAAAGAAUUAUGAUGCACAAGAAAAGAAAAGCACAACAUACCAAAGCAAUUAAAUAUAACAACUUCAUUACAAAUGUAAAAACGAAGCAGAUAGGGAGAUACACUGACUUGUUCCUCUUUCCAUUCAUCGGGUCGGAGCACCAGUUAAUCUUUCACAGCCCAUGGUGAUCUGCAAAAUUUUCAAUCGAUCAAUCUUCAUACUAUGCUGAAAGAUGAUAUCGGAAACCAAUCAAUGAAGCGAGAUUGGGAUUUAAGAUUUUCAUUACUUGCAGCGCCGACGAAGACACGGAGUUGGAUUAGAUCGGCGUAUGGCCGAAACAGACAGAGUAAUUUAGAGGCUUGUCGAGCUGCGGUAGCUGAGAGAGAGAGAGAGAGAGAGAGAGAGAGAGAGAGAGAGAGAGAGAGAGAGAGAGNNNNNNNNNNNNNNNNNNNNGGAGAGGAACUUCGUUAUGCACCAUAAGAAAAAAGAGAUAAACUCAUAAAAGUAUAAUUUUAUAACUUUAAACAAUAUUGGUGACGGUCAAACAGUUGUGGUUUUUGCUAAUAGUGACACCGUUAUAAGGAUUGGGGAGAAAUCCUAUGGGUUAUGUCACCAUUAGACUAAUAGUGCAUAGAAAAUAGUAUCUGAUGCCCACAUUUGUGGUAGUGUCAUCUGCAGUCAUAGUCUCAAGAAUGACAAAUCGUCAUCAUCUGAAGUAUUGAGGCAUGUCAGAGAUUUCCAAUCUUCCUUCAAAAGGUUAGAUUUUUCCUUCCAUGACCCAUGUAAUAUCAGGAUUUAAGUGGGUAUAACAUGACUGAGAAAUUUGAAAAUAGGAAUUUAUUGGUUAUGAUUUCUUCAUGAUUUUCUGCUAACAUAAAUUCUCAAUUUUUUUUUCAUAUAUUAUUUCUUAGGAAAUUGAAUUCUGGUGAAGUUAAUCAAUGUGUUUGCAUAUAGGCGUCAACAGAUCGAGCUUGGCUGAGUAGUUGCCUCCUCCACAUGUAUAUGUGUUGGCUUUAAACUCAGUCUUCUACUAUAUGUGAUGUUUUGUUUCGUUAAGUGUUUAUUUUGUGAUCUUGUUUCGUCAAGUGCUGAUGUUUCUUAAUAUCUUUUAUUAAACAGCGACAAGCGUGGCUCGUGGAUCACAUUGUACCGAUACUGUCCCAACUUAACCACCUUUAAGGUGUUGGGUUUUAAUCACAAAAGGCCUCGGUACAAUUGGAUAAGAUCCAUCCACAUAUAAGUUAUAUUUUAUUUGUCACUUUUCUGAUGUGGGAUUUAUUCCUCUCUAAUACUUCUAAUACGCCCCCUCACGUGCAACCUGACUUAAGGUCCGCACGUGGAAUGAAUCGGGACGGAACGAACCAAGGGACACUUAGUGACAAUCCAAUCGGAAUAUUCCGAUGGUGAGACAAGAAGCCGGAACCGGGCGAGAAAAUAGAAUCCCGGACCGGACGAGAGAAUGAACCCAAAUCGGGCCCAUGAGAAUUGGAGAAGUAAUUGGAGAGGGACCCGCUCUGAUACCAUGUUAAACAGCGACAAGCGUGGCCUAUGGAUCACAUUGUACCGAUACUGUCCCAACUUAACCACCUUUAAGGUGUUGGGUUUUAAUCACAAAAGGCCUCGGUACAAUUGGAUAAGAUCCAUCCACAUAUAAGUUAUAUUUUAUUUGUCACUUUUCUGAUGUGGGAUCUAUUCUUCUCUAAUACUUCUAAUAUUUUUGUCUACUUUUCAGGUAUGUGUUCUUGCAAAAUUUAUUAGCCUUAGCUGAAGUUGUUGUUGAGCUUGACUUACAGAAUGAGGUUGGGGAAAUACAAAGAUUAGCCUUUUCGACUUUGCAAAGGAUGGAUCAGGCCAUCAGGGGACGAGCAUCAUUAGUUAGUUUCAACUUUCAACAAUAGUUUUUUAGAUUAGCUCCAUGUAAAUAGAUUAGCUCCAUUUCCCUCCUGGCCUCCUGGGAAAUUUUGAUUAGUUGUGCUUUGUUGUGGAUUUCCUGCAAAUCAGUUAAUGAAUAUAAUCAUUUAGAGAAACUCCGUAUUUCUAUGAAUAAUUGGACGUAUUUCUAUAAAUAAUCGGGUAUUUCUCUAAAUAAAUACAAACCAAUUUGAAUAAGAGCCGUCAGAUAUAUGGUGGGCCCAGAUAAUUCACAUUUAUAACAGCUGUUGAAUUUUACACAUUUUUUUUACAAUCCACACACCUCUAUCUCACUUUUUAUAAGAAAAUGUCUAAAAUGACUCUAUUUUAGACAACUAGAAAAAUUAAAACAUGGAUAGUUUAGACAUUUUCUUAUAAAAAGUAGGGUUUAGGUGUGUAAAUUUCACUCCCCUUAUAUUGACCCUUAAAAUGGUAAUAUAAAAUGGGUCCCAACUUUGAUAGCACCCACGAAUGUUUCGUAUACGUGAGAUUUUUAAGCUAUCGCCAUGGCAUUAGUCCGCAAAUCGUGACCAAGCCCAAUGCACACGAUUAUUCGUAGGUAAAAAGGCAACUCCCACGAAACAAAUUCCUAGCUAUACCCAGUUUUUUUUUUUUUUUUUUAGUGAUGGCUGAUUAAGUUGGAUAAGAGCUAGAUGUAUUGGUUCCACUUCCACCUCCAUGUAAACACAAAACUAUUGUAAUUUACCACACAAUAACUAAUUAGCAAAGACUAGUAGAAUACGUAUAUGUACUAAUGUACACCAAGGACUGACACCAAACUAACAAUUCAGGUGGCCCAUAUAUAACCGAGUUCGUUUUAUAAUUCGAGUUCUUACAUCUUUUUAAUAGAUUGAGCUGAUCAAGCAAAAAUUCGAAUCAAACAAAUGAAGUAAACGGAUCAAUGAACACAGGUUAUUCAAUAUGCAUGAUUGUGAUGUUACUGAAAUUAAUGGACAAUCAAUUUCAGUAUAAAGCUUAAGGUUAGCUGAGCAUGUCGUCUUAAUUAACUGCAGUACGUAUAGAUGAUCUGUUCUCAUUCAGUGUGCUGAUGUUCAUCUUCAGAAUGGAAAUCUGAAGUUGUGAAGAUGUAGUUUUUGAGAGCCCCGAGAAUGAUCCAUGCACAAUAGCACGAAAGACGAAAACUGAAGUGGAAGUAGAAUUUUUCUGUAAACUUUGUACCUACAAAAUUAAGUUUAAUAAUUUUCAGAUUCUUAUGCAGAGGUUUGGGUACGCAUGAAUCAAGAGAUCAGUGAAAGCAUAUUCUCAUCAUAAUUAACAUCAUACUUUCUGCAAUUUGUUCUCAAAUUGGAUUACCUAUAUAUAAAUUCUAGGCCAUAUAGAAAAUUAGAAAUAUAAGGUUGUUCAGCUUCCAUUCCGUGGAUGGAAAAUUCUAGUAUACCAUAUGGUAUAACAUACCUCACAAAAUAUGUGGCUAUCAUUGAUUGAAAAAACAACUAAAUGACCAUGUAAUGACUAUUUACCCCUUCAAAAGCCCACAUAGGCAUGUCAUACCAUAUGGUAUGAUAAACAAACCCUCCGUGGAUAUAUUUGUUAAAGAUCCUUGAAUCAUUUCCCCCAAAAAAGAAAAAGAAAAAAAAAGGAGAUCCUUGAAUCAGAGGUUAUAUAGGCUUUGAUGAAUGUCGUAUAUUGCUCGUCAUUUUCUUGAUGCAUCUAAUUAAGUACGUAGUUGGAGAAAACAAGAUGCCAGUGAAUCUAAUACCAAGAUUUCUUGCAGGGCUGCUUAAUAUCAAGUUAUCAACUAUUGUGAGUUACUAAAAUGAUUGAGUUCGUAUGUGGGUGAAGAUUUCACAUGGAAAUUUUGAUACAGAGAUAUGUAAUUAUGCAAACAGAUCCGUUCAUAUAUUCCUUUCCAUCGACAAACAAGUUACAUCAACACAGGCACACUUGAAAGAAAUCCCAUUUACAACAGUUGCGCACACAUGAUUAAAUCGAUCACUUCACUCCAAAACUUUCAAACCUCACUUUCCGGGAACAAAGUUUGUGGCAUAUGACCAAGCGUUGUUGUUAACAGGGUCAGCCAAGUGAUCAGCUAGGUUCUCAAUCGGUCCCUUUCCGGUAACAAUAGCUUGCACGAAGAAUCCGAACAUGGAAAACAUAGCCAGUCUUCCGUUCUUGAGCUCCUUCACCUUAAGCUCAGCAAAAGCCUCAGGAUCGUCUGCAAGCCCUAAAGGGUCAAAGCUCCCACCGGGGUACAACGGGUCUACUACCUCACCGAGAGGACCUCCUGCAAUUCUGUAGCCUUCAACAGCACCCAUCAAGAUCACUUGUGUUGCCCAGAUUGCCAAAAUGCUUUGAGCGUGGACCAAGCUAGGGUUUCCCAAGUAGUCUAGUCCACCCUCACUGAAGAUUUGAGCUCCAGCCUUGAACCAAACAGCUUCGCCGAACUUGACUCCAUUACGAGCCAAGAGUUCAGGGAAAACACAGCCAAGGGCACCUAGCAUGGCCCAUCUGGAAUGGAUGACUUCGAGCUCACGGUUCUUGGCAAAGGUCUCAGGAUCAGCUGAGAGCCCAGCUGUGUCCCAGCCGUAGUCACCGGGAAACUCUCCGGUGAGGUAAGACGGGGCUUCGCCGGAGAAUGGUCCCAAGUACUUGACACGGUCAGGACCGUACCACGGGCUGACGGAUGACACAUUCUUUGACUUGGCUGCGGUUUUGCGCAUGGUAACUCGGCCCUCACCGAGGAGGUUAGAUGUGGAGGAACCAAGCUUCACAGCUUGGCCAGCUAGAGAAGGGGAGGAGAGAGCCAUUGUUGAAGAAGCCAUUUGAGGAAAGUGUUGAGAGUUCUCAGCUUAGACAAUGUGGGGUGGUGAGGGCCGAGGGUUUGUGUUUUGAGUAGAGCCGUUGGUGGCUAUUUGUAUAGGGUUUUGUGUGGGGGUUCUUUAUCUUUUUGAUAUCUUCAUCUCUAUUCUUAUUGGGUGAUAGUGAAGUUUGAAGAUUUUUCCCUUCAACGGAUCUCUGCAUUUCCAGUUGGCCUCGUAUGCUCCACUACUAAGUUCAGUUAGUUCCAAAAAUAGAAAGACAUGCAGAGACAAAAAUGGAAAUCUGUUGUGGAUGUACUCUAUCGAAAAUAAAAUCUGUUGUGGAUACUCUGUGCUUUGAUUUCCAGCUAAUAGACGGUGACCACGUCAGCUUUGGAUCAGGGUAAUGGCUGAUUAAGAUUCUUGGAUAAGAGCUAGAUGUAUUAGUUCCACCUCCAUGUAAUGUACGUAUAUGUACACAAAGAAGUUAAUUAACUAGCAAAGAAUAGUAGAAUACGUAUAUGUACAUAAAGGACUAAUACCAAACUAACAUGCAACUCAGGUGAUCCCAUAUUAAUUAUAACGAGUUCGUUUUAUAAUUCGAGUCGUUACAUCUGUUUGAAAGACUAAGUUUAUCAUGUAAUAAUUUGAAUCAAACAAAUGAAGUAAACGGAUCAAUGAACACUGGUUAUUAAUGCAUGAUUGUGAUGUAUAUAUGUUACUGAAAUGGACAAGCAGUGUUUCUGUAUAAGCUUAAGUUUUCGCCAGAUCAAUUGAAGGAGGCCGAGCAUGUCGCCUAAAUUAACUGCAGUACAUAGACGAUCUGUUCCCAUUCAGUGUGAUGAUGUUCAUCUUCAGAAUGGAAAUCUGAAGUUGUGAAGCAAAAUGUAGUUUAUGAGAGCCCCAAGAAUGAUCCAAUGCACGAUGGCCUCCUGAAAGUCGAAAACUGAAGUAGAAGUAGAAAUUUUCUGUUAACUUUAUACCUACAAGUUUAAUAAUUUCAUGGACGCAUGAAUCAAGAGAUCAGUGAAAGAACAUUGUCAUCAUACUUUCUGCAAGCUAUCCUCAAAUUGGAUUACCUAUACAUGAAUUCAAGGCAUCAGCCAAAAGCCCAAAAGUAGUAUUGCAUAUAGGUUGUCCAGCUUCCAUGUUUGUCAUAAGGAUCCUCAAAUCAGCAUUAGUGGCUUUGAUUGAAUUUCAUAUAUCGCUUGUCAAUUUGUUGAUGCAUCUAAUUAAGUCGGAGAAAUUAUACAAGAUGUGUCAGAUAUUUCCAUGAUUUCUGGCAAUGCUGCUUAGAGCUGAUUCAUUAACUUGUGAGUUAAUAAAAGAUGAUUGAGCUUGUAUAGUUGUAUAUAUGGGUGAAGAUUUUACAUAAAAUUUUUAGUACAGAGCAAUUUAAGCAAACAGAUCUGUUGAUAUAUUCCUUUCCAUCGACAAACAAGUUACAUCAACAGAAACACACUUGAAAGAAAUCCCAUUUACAACAGUUGCAAACACAGAUGAUUCGAUCGAUCACUUCUCUCCCAAGCUUUCAAACCUCACUUUCCGGGAACAAAGUUGGUGGCAUAGGACCAAGCGUUGUUGUUAACAGGGUCAGCCAAGUGGUCAGCUAGGUUCUCAAUCGGUCCCUUUCCGGUAACAAUAGCUUGUACGAAGAAUCCGAACAUGGAAAACAUGGCCAGUCUUCCGUUCUUGAGCUCCUUCACCUUAAGCUCAGCAAAAGCCUCAGGAUCGUCUGCAAGCCCCAAGGGGUCAAAGCUCCCACCGGGGUACAACGGGUCUACUACCUCACCGAGAGGCCCUCCGGCAAUUCUGUAGCCUUCAACUGCACCCAUCAAGAUCACUUGUGUUGCCCAGAUUGCCAAAAUGCUCUGAGCAUGAACUAAGCUUGGGUUUCCCAAGUAGUCUAGUCCACCCUCACUGAAGAUCUGAGCUCCUGCCUUGAACCAAACAGCUUCUCCGAACUUGACUCCAUUACGAGCUAGGAGUUCAGGGAAGACACAUCCUAGAGCACCGAGCAUGGCCCAUCUUGAAUGGAUGACCUCGAGCUCACGGUUCUUAGCAAAGGUCUCGGGAUCAGCUGAGAGCCCAGCUGUGUCCCAGCCAUAGUCACCGGGAAACUCUCCGGUGAGGUAAGAUGGAGCCUCCCCGGAGAAUGGCCCCAAGUACUUGACACGGUCUGGGCCAUACCAAGGGCUGCCAGACGACACAGCCUUGGACUUGGCUCCAGUUUUGCGCAUGGUGAUUCUGCCCUCACCGAAGAUGUUAGAUGCAGCUGGGCUAAGCUGCACAGCUUGGCCAG
RNAcentral lists this long non-coding RNA (42727 nucleotides) under Fragaria vesca (wild strawberry). RNAcentral describes it as "long non-coding RNA (FVES_LNC003210)". The record is from RNAcentral. Lineage: Eukaryota; Viridiplantae; Streptophyta; Magnoliopsida; Rosales; Rosaceae.